Molecule: long non-coding RNA, 300 nt
Filed under: Panicum hallii
Lineage: Eukaryota; Viridiplantae; Streptophyta; Magnoliopsida; Poales; Poaceae
Description: long non-coding RNA (PHAL_LNC000653)
Source: RNAcentral
ACACCAGCACAGUUCACAAAUUGGAGGAUCACGCAAAGACUGUCAAAUAGUACAAUUAGACGGAGAAGAAACGGAAUUACGGAAAGUCAAUCCCUCUAGCAACAUGGGAAAAUUCCCCUUCUAGCGAUUUUUUUACCGCAGUAUAAGCAGUAUUCACAUCACACUGCCACUAAUUUACCCGUUACCACCCAAGUUUAAUCCGUGUCACCCAUUAAAAAACAACACCACCGUCGUCGUCCUACCACCACGCUAGGGGGCGGCGGUAGAGUUUGGCCGCUUGACGGUUUGACGUCUGCCUCC